AGGGCGAUAUAGUUUGUUGCAUUAGACCCGAAACCGAGUGAUCUAGCCAUGAGCAGGUUGAAGGUUGGGUAACACCAACUGGAGGACCGAACCCGCAUCUGUUGCAAUAGAUUGGGAUGACUUGUGGCUAGGGGUGAAAGGCCAAUCAAACUCGGAAAUAGCUGGUUCUCCGCGAAAUCUAUUUAGGUAGAGCGUCGAGCGAAUACCCCCGGGGGUAGAGCACUGGAUGGGCUAUGGGGACUCACCGUCUUACUGAUCCUAACCAAACUCCGAAUACCGGGGAGUACUACUCGGCAGACACACGGCGGGUGCUAACGUCCGUCGUGAAAAGGGCAACAACCCUAACCUCCAGCUAAGGUCCCCAAGUCAUGGCUAAGUGGGAAAGGAUGUGAGGAUCCCAAAACAACCAGGAUGUUGGCUUAGAAGCAGCCAUCAUUUAAAGAAAGCGUAACAGCUCACUGGUCUAAAUAAGGGUCUUUGCGCCGAAAAUGUAACGGGGCUGAAGCCAUGCACCGAAGCUGAGGAUUCCUCGCAAGAGGAGUGGUAGCGGAGCGUUCCGUAAGCUGAUGAAGGGAGACCCGUGAGGGCUCCUGGAGGUAUCGGAAGUGCGAAUGUUGACAUGAGUAACGAUAAAGAGGGUGAGAGACCCUCUCGCCGAAAGACCAAGGGUUCCUGCUUAAAGUUAAUCUGAGCAGGGUUAGCCGGCCCCUAAGACGAGGCGGACACGCGUAGUCGAUGGGAACCACGUUAAUAUUCGUGGGCCUGGUGGUAGUGACGGAUUGCACAAGUUGUUCUGGUUUAUUGGAUUAUCAGGGCAGCGGAGCGGUUCCAGGAAAUAGCUCCACCGUAUAGACCGUACCCGAAACCGACACAGGUGGUCAGGUAGAGUAUACCAAGGCGCUUGAGAGAACUAUGUUGAAGGAACUCGGCAAAUUGCACGCGUAACUUCGGAAGAAGCGUGACCCCAUUUUAGGCAACUAUGAUGGGGUGGCACAGACCAGGGGGUAGCGACUGUUUAUCAAAAACACAGGGCUCUGCGAAGUCGCAAGACGACGUAUAGGGUCUGACGCCUGCCCGGUGCUGGAAGGUUAAGAGGAGAGGUGCAAGCUUUGAAUCGAAGCCCCAGUAAACGGCGGCCGUAACUAUAACGGUCCUAAGGUAGCGAAAUUCCUUGUCGGGUAAGUUCCGACCUGCACGAAUGGCGUAACGACUUCCCCGCUGUCUCCAACAUAGACUCAGUGAAAUUGAAUUCCCCGUGAAGAUGCGGGGUUCCUGCGGUCAGACGGAAAGACCCCGUGCACCUUUACUAUAGCUUUACACUGGCAUUCGUGUCGGCAUGUGUAGGAUAGGUGGUAGGCUUUGAAGCGGGGACGCCAGUUUCCGUGGAGCCAUCCUUGAAAUACCACCCUUAUCGUCAUGGAUGUCUAACCGCGGCCCGUCAUCCGGGUCCGGGACAGUGUAUGGUGGGUAGUUUGACUGGGGCGGUCGCCUCCGAAAGAGUAACGGAGGCGCGCGAUGGUGGGCUCAGACCGGUCGGAAAUCGGUCGUCGAGUGCAAUGGCAUAAGCCCGCCUGACUGCGAGACUGACAAGUCGAGCAGAGACGAAAGUCGGUCAUAGUGAUCCGGUGGUCCCGCGUGGAAGGGCCAUCGCUCAACGGAUAAAAGGUACGCCGGGGAUAACAGGCUGAUGACCCCCAAGAGUCCAUAUCGACGGGGUUGUUUGGCACCUCGAUGUCGGCUCAUCGCAUCCUGGGGCUGGAGCAGGUCCCAAGGGUUUGGCUGUUCGCCAAUUAAAGCGGUACGUGAGCUGGGUUCAGAACGUCGUGAGACAGUUCGGUCCCUAUCUGCCGUGGGUGUAGGAAUAUUGACAGGAUCUGUCCCUAGUACGAGAGGACCGGGAUGGACAUAUCUCUGGUGGACCUGUUGUCCUGCCAAGGGCAUAGCAGGGUAGCUAUAUAUGGACGGGAUAACCGCUGAAGGCAUCUAAGCGGGAAACCCACCUGAAAACGAGUGUUCCCUAUCAGAGCCGUGGAAGACGACCACGUUGAUAGGCCGGGUGUGGAAGUGCGGCAACGCAUGAAGCUUACCGGUACUAAUAGCUCGAUCGGCUUGAUCGU
Molecule: ribosomal RNA, 2117 nt
Filed under: Rhizobium sp. BK049
Lineage: Bacteria; Pseudomonadati; Pseudomonadota; Alphaproteobacteria; Hyphomicrobiales; Rhizobiaceae
Description: 23S ribosomal RNA
Rfam family: Bacterial large subunit ribosomal RNA
Source: RNAcentral